UAGAGUUUGAUCCUGGCUCAGAUUGAACGCUGGCGGCAGGCCUAACACAUGCAAGUCGAGCGGUAACAGGACUAGCUUGCUAGUUGCUGACGAGCGGCGGACGGGUGCGUAACACGUAGGAAUCUGCCCGGUAGUGGGGGAUAGCCCGGAGAAAUCCGGAUUAAUACCGCAUACGCCUUAAGAGGGAAAGCAGGGGACUCUUCGGAACCUUGCGCUAUCGGAUGAGCCUGCGUCGGAUUAGCUUGUUGGUGGGGUAAAGGCCUACCAAGGCAACGAUCCGUAGCUGGUCUGAGAGGAUGAUCAGCCACACUGGGACUGAGACACGGCCCAGACUCCUACGGGAGGCAGCAGUGGGGAAUAUUGCACAAUGGGCGAAAGCCUGAUGCAGCCAUGCCGCGUGUGUGAAGAAGGCCCUAGGGUUGUAAAGCACUUUCAGCGAGGAGGAAAGGUUCAAGGUUAAUACCCUUGAGCUGUGACGUUACUCGCAGAAGAAGCACCGGCUAACUCCGUGCCAGCAGCCGCGGUAAUACGGAGGGUGCGAGCGUUAAUCGGAAUUACUGGGCGUAAAGCGUGCGUAGGCGGCUUGUUAAGUUGGAUGUGAAAGCCCCGGGCUUAACCUGGGAACGGCAUCCAAAACUGGCAAGCUAGAGUGCGGAAGAGGAGUGUGGAAUUUCCUGUGUAGCGGUGAAAUGCGUAGAUAUAGGAAGGAACACCAGUGGCGAAGGCGACACUCUGGUCUGACACUGACGCUGAGGUACGAAAAGCGUGGGGGAGCAAACAGGAUUAGAUACCCUGGUAGUCCACGCCGUAAACGAUGUCUACUAGUCGUCGGGGAUCUUGCAUUCCUGGUGACGCAACUAAACGCGAUAA
Molecule: ribosomal RNA, 870 nt
Filed under: uncultured bacterium
Lineage: Bacteria
Description: bacterial SSU rRNA
Rfam family: Bacterial small subunit ribosomal RNA
Source: RNAcentral